RNAcentral lists this ribosomal RNA (501 nucleotides) under Salmonella enterica subsp. enterica serovar Enteritidis. Its description in RNAcentral is "partial 23S ribosomal RNA". It matches the Rfam family "Bacterial large subunit ribosomal RNA", at positions 64 to 605 of the family's 2925-position model. Lineage: Bacteria; Pseudomonadati; Pseudomonadota; Gammaproteobacteria; Enterobacterales; Enterobacteriaceae. The record is from RNAcentral.
AUCUGCGAUAAGCGCCGGUAAGGUGAUAUGAACCGUUAUAACCGGCGAUACCCGAAUGGGGAAACCCAGUGUGACUCGUCACACUAUCAUUAACUGAAUCCAUAGGUUAAUGAGGCGAACCGGGGGAACUGAAACAUCUAAGUACCCCGAGGAAAAGAAAUCAACCGAGAUUCCCCCAGUAGCGGCGAGCGAACGGGGAGGAGCCCAGAGCCUGAAUCAGCAUGUGUGUUAGUGGAAGCGUCUGGAAAGGCGCGCGAUACAGGGUGACAGCCCCGUACACAAAAGCGCAUGUGCUGUGAGCUCGAUGAGUAGGGCGGGACACGUGGUAUCCUGUCUGAAUAUGGGGGGACCAUCCUCCAAGGCUAAAUACUCCUGACUGACCGAUAGUGAACCAGUACCGUGAGGGAAAGGCGAAAAGAACCCCGGCGAGGGGAGUGAAAAAGAACCUGAAACCGUGUACGUACAAGCAGUGGGAGCACCCUUUGGGUGUGACUGCGUACC